AGUGAACGCUGGCGGUAGGCCUAACACAUGCAAGUCGAACGGCAGCACAGUAAUAGCUUGCUCUGACGGGUGGCGAGUGGCGUACGGAAGAGGAAUACAUCGUAAUCUACUUUUUCGUGUGGCAUAACGUAGGGAAACUUACUCUAAUACCGCAUCCGACCUUCGGGGGUAAGCAGGGGAUCUUCGGACCUUGCGCGAUUGAAUGAGCCGAUGUCGGAUUUGCUAGUUGGCCGGGUAAAGGCCCAGCAAGUCGGCGAUCCAUAGCUGGUGUGAGAGGAUGAUCAGCGACACUGGAACUGAGCCACGGUCCAGACGCCUGAGAGACGGCGCAGUGGGCAACAUUGGACAGUGGGCGCAGGCAUGGUCCAGCCAUACCGCGUGGGUGACGAAGGCCCUCGGGUUGUAAAGACGUUUUGCUGGGAAAGAAAAGCAGCAGCUUAAUACCAAGCUGUUGUGACGGUACCCAAAGAAUAAGCACCGGCUAACUUCGUG
This 492-nucleotide ribosomal RNA is filed under the name uncultured bacterium. RNAcentral describes it as "partial 16S ribosomal RNA". It matches the Rfam family "Bacterial small subunit ribosomal RNA", at positions 29 to 507 of the family's 1533-position model. The record is from RNAcentral.